UAUCUCCCGGGGAGAUAGCUGAGA
RNAcentral lists this non-coding RNA (24 nucleotides) under Mus musculus (house mouse). The record is from RNAcentral. Lineage: Eukaryota; Metazoa; Chordata; Mammalia; Rodentia; Muridae.